CCUACGGGUGGCAGCAGUGAGGAAUAUUGGUCAAUGGACGAGAGUCUGAACCAGCCAAGUAGCGUGAAGGAUGACUGCCCUAUGGGUUGUAAACUUCUUUUAUAUGGGAGUAAAAUGUUCCACGUGUGGGAUUUUGUAUGUACCAUAUGAAUAAGGAUCGGCUAACUCCGUGCCAGCAGCCGCGGUAAUACGGAGGAUCCGAGCGUUAUCCGGAUUUAUUGGGUUUAAAGGGGGCGUAGGUGGAUUGUUAAGUCAGUUGUGAAAGUUUGCGGCUCAACCGUAAAAUUGCAGUUGAAACUGGCAGUCUUGAGUACAGUAGAGGUGGGCGGAAUUCGUGGUGUAGCGGUGAAAUGCGUAGAUAUCACGAAGAACUCCGAUUGCGAAGGCAGCUUACUGGACUGCAACUGACACUGAGGCUCGAAAGUGUGGGUAUCAAACAGGAUUAGAUACCCCGGUAGUC
RNAcentral lists this ribosomal RNA (460 nucleotides) under uncultured bacterium. RNAcentral's name for it is "partial 16S ribosomal RNA". It matches the Rfam family "Bacterial small subunit ribosomal RNA", at positions 338 to 795 of the family's 1533-position model. The record is from RNAcentral.